UAGUCUAAAACGUUCAGGGCACAGUCGUUUUGUAUGAAUUCGUAAAAAGUCACUUUUCAGCUGAGAUCGAAUAAAUAUUAAAUAUUGCUUGUGGAUAUUAAAACAGCAACGCAGCUGAUAAACUGACCCAAGACAACAAAGACUGAUGGGACUCGCCAAUUCGAACUUCCACGCAGUGGCACAGACGCUUUUCAUUUUUGUAUCGCUUCAAGGAAGCAGAGGCUGGAAUAUAUUUUUAUCUACACGUUAGAAAUCGAUCGAGAAACUUCAUUGUAGAAAGUACCGCAUAAACCGUUAUUUUAUUACACGUUUUUUACGACUAGGGCUUCCAACGCAUUGUACACAAGGCUAUACAAGCAAUAAAGGUUCCAUGAUGAUUAUUUAAUAAUAAAACUCCUAAUUUACUUGAGACGUCGAGGGUAUCGCUUCGAGAUUGUGCACGGUCUUCGACGUAAGCGACUUUGUUUGUCAAUUAAUCUGCAAACGAUUCGAUGAUUGAUGCUUGAGUGACUUGAAACACUAGUAGUCGGUACAAGCAUUAUUGUUUAGAAUAGUAUUCUUAUUGUUCUAAAUUAUAUAUUUGCAGAGGAUCUUCGCCAGGAAGAAACACAUACUACUCUAAAUAAUAAUGGCUACUUGUGUUUGUAGUUUAAGUCAUAGAUUCGCAACGAAGAGUAUACAACGGUAACGCUCGUACUGCUAGCGCUGUAUCGUUUCUCAAUCGUUUCUUUAGCCUGAAGCGCUAACCACCGUGAAACGCUUCUCCUUUUCCAGUUUUGCUGAAGAAGUGGACCUGUUUUCAAUGCGGGAAACGGUACCUCUGGCGGGGUUCCCUGCAGAAUCACAUCCGCGUGGAAUGCGGCAAAGAGCCUGCUUUCAAGUGUUCUAUUUGCGGCAGGAAGUUCAAGCACAAACAUCGCUGGAUGUCGCACGCCAAAUGCGUGCACGGUAUUAACUUCUAACGACGUGUACGUCGCGACGUCGACAACAUCCUCGGCUAGGUUUAAUCAUCUACUUUCCACGCGAAAGAAACCUGCAUUGCGUUAGAAAAAGCUGUGUCGGUGCUUGCUUGUACGACGUUCAAUCCCUUCGCCACACCUCUGCCAAAUUUUGUUCGCUAUUCGCAAUAUUUCCUUGUUUCAUUUGUUUUUACGCGUUACCAUUUUAGUCCCUAAGAAUGGUUCCGUUUAAUUAUCCAGCAACUACAUAGCUCGAUAGCGAAUGAGAUCAACCGAUCAAUUUUUCAAAACUCAACGAAUCGCGAAGACACACGUCGCAUUCUUUCCUUGCUGUAUGUAAACGUGUGCCACGAGAAAUCUCAGAAUAUAGUUUGAAGUAAAAAGAGAACACUUCGUAUCCCUUUCUUCCUUGUGCGAUUGCGAAACCGUCCAGUGUGUGCAUGCAUCGUACGUAACCAACUCCGCGUUUCCAAUUAUGUUUUGUCGAGUAUCAAGACACGUCCACGCCUCGAAGCCACAGUUUCGCGCGUAAAUUCGCGAAAUGUCCCCAUUAACGACUGGAUUUCUCUUUGCAGACAACGCGAGGAAACUGUGGUGGUGUUUCCAGUGCGGCAAGCAAUACAUGUGGAGGGACUCGCUGAAGAAGCACCUUCGAGUCGAGUGCGGCAAGGAUCCCACUUUCCAGUGUCCGGUUUGUGGGAGAAAGUUCAAGCACAAACACCGCUGGCAAUCGCACGCUAGAUUGAUUCACUGUAUCAGCAUAUGACUGACUGACCGAGGAGACCGCAUAAUUUAGCUAGCCGCCAUGAUUCGUUAACGAACUGUCAACUGCGUGUAAAUAACUUGCAUCCCGAGAUCUAAUUCAGACAUAUCGAUUGAACGCCAGACUGAUCAAUUGUGUCAAUGCCAAAGAUAACAUACCAGACUUCAAGUUUGUCGUCGUAAAGGUGGCCUGUCCGAGCUGCGAAAAGUUUUUCAAAAAUCAUUAUCAGCUUCGAUUGCACCAACAGCAAGCACACUCGCAAAAGCGCUUAAUGGAUUGUUACUUUUGCGAGGAGAGCUUCACAAUGAAAAAAUCCUUGUUGGCACAUAUGGCAUCUGCGCAUCCAUAUCCUAAAUUGGGAACUAAACCAUUGAAUCCCUUGAAACCCUGGUGGUGCUUCCAAUGCGGUAGGCAAUACGUGUGGAGGGGCUCGUUGAAGAAUCACCUUCGAAUAGAGUGCGGCAAGGAACCCACUUUUUCGUGUCCGGUUUGUGGGAGAAGGUUCUUGUACCAAUAUCGCUGUAAAUCGCACGCUAGAUUGAUUCACGGUAUCAACAUAUGACUGACCGAGGUGUCCACAUAAUUUAACUAAUCGCCAUGAUUCGUUGACGAACUGUCAACGCCCGUAGGUGACUUGCCUUCAUCCCAAAAUUUAAUUCCCACGUGUCGUUUGAACGCUACACUGAUCCAUUGUGUAAAUGUCAAAAAUGUUUCAAAAGUUCAUGGCUUCGAGCAAAAACAAAUUAUUUUUAAGCAUUCCGUUAUAUUUUGUUUUUUUUUUUGCAUAUCCAUACUUUCACCUCGCCUGUUCCAAAAACGAGAAUAAUUAUGUUGCAAUUGGUACUUGUUUAAAGAAAAUAAAUAAACGUUGUAUUGAUUCUGA
Molecule: RNA transcript, 2605 nt
Organism: Hylaeus volcanicus
Lineage: Eukaryota; Metazoa; Arthropoda; Insecta; Hymenoptera; Colletidae
Gene name: zinc finger protein 786-like
Exons: 2
Source: RefSeq, a predicted model, not a curated record